This 350-nucleotide ribosomal RNA is filed under the name uncultured bacterium. RNAcentral's name for it is "partial 16S ribosomal RNA". It matches the Rfam family "Bacterial small subunit ribosomal RNA", at positions 338 to 705 of the family's 1533-position model. The record is from RNAcentral.
CCUACGGGAGGCAGCAGUAGGGAAUUUUGCGCAAUGGGCGAAAGCCUGACGCAGCAACGCCGCGUGAGCGAGACGCCCUUCGGGGUGUAAAGAUCUGUCAGUGGGGACGAAACUUGACGGUACCUACAGAGGAAGCACCGGCUAACUCCGUGCCAGCAGCCGCGGUAAUACGGGGGGUGCAAGCGUUGUCCGGAAUCAUUGGGCGUAAAGAGGUCGUAGGCGGCAAGGAAAGCCUGGAGUGAAAGCCCGGGGCUCAACGCCUGUACGGCGCUGGGGACUUCGGGGCUGGAGGGCAGGAGUGGCAGGCGGAAGUCCUGGUGUAGCGGUGAAAUGCGUAGAUAUCAGGAGGA